Molecule: transfer RNA, 65 nt
Filed under: Astrospartus mediterraneus
Lineage: Eukaryota; Metazoa; Echinodermata; Ophiuroidea; Euryalida; Gorgonocephalidae
Description: transfer RNA-Glu
Source: RNAcentral
AUUUGUAUAGUUUAAUAAAAAACGAUAAACUUUCUAUUUAUAGAUUCCUGUUGAGGAUAUAGAUU